RNAcentral lists this ribosomal RNA (444 nucleotides) under Terribacillus saccharophilus. Its description in RNAcentral is "bacterial LSU rRNA". It matches the Rfam family "Bacterial large subunit ribosomal RNA", at positions 1418 to 1867 of the family's 2925-position model. Lineage: Bacteria; Bacillati; Bacillota; Bacilli; Caryophanales; Bacillaceae. The record is from RNAcentral.
AUGGAUAACAGGUUGAUAUUCCUGUACCACCUAAAUCCGCUUGAACGAUGGGGGGACGCAGGAGGAUAAGGAAAGCGCGCUGCUGGUUAUGCGCGUCCAAGCCGUGAGGAAGUUGAGCAGGCAAAUCCACUCAACAUUAAUUCCAGGCGGUUAUGGGGAGGGAAAUUUAGUACCGAAGUUCCUGAUUUCACACUGCCAAGAAAAGCCUCUAGUGAGGAAAUAGGUGCCCGUACCGCAAACCGACACAGGUAGGCACGGUGAGUAACCGAAGAUGAUCGGGAGAACUCUCGUUAAGGAACUCGGCAAAAUGACCCCGUAACUUCGGGAGAAGGGGUGCUUCUUUUAAGGAGAAGCCGCAGUGAAAAGGCCCAAGCGACUGUUUAGCAAAAACACAGGUCUCUGCAAAGCCGUAAGGCGAAGUAUAGGGGCUGACACCUGCCCGGU